RNAcentral lists this transfer RNA (73 nucleotides) under Ailuropoda melanoleuca (giant panda). It matches the Rfam family "tRNA". Rfam says of the family: Transfer RNA (tRNA) molecules are approximately 80 nucleotides in length. Their secondary structure includes four short double-helical elements and three loops (D, anti-codon, and T loops). The record is from Rfam by way of RNAcentral. Lineage: Eukaryota; Metazoa; Chordata; Mammalia; Carnivora; Ursidae.
ACCUGGCUGGCUCAAUUGGUGGAGCAUGUGACUCUGGAUCUUUGGGUUGUGAGUUCAAGUCUCACACUGGGUG